CCUACGGGAGGCUGCAGUGAGGAAUUUUGGUCAAUGGGCGCUAGCCUGAACCAGCCAAGUAGCGUGAAGGAUGACUGCCCUAUGGGUUGUAAACUUCUUUUAUAUGGGAAUAAAGUGCAGUAUGUAUACUGCUUUGCAUGUACCCUAUGAAUAAGGAUCGGCUAACUCCGUGCCAGCAGCCGCGGUAAUACGGAGGAUCCGAGCGUUCUCCGGAGUUAUUGGGUUUAAAGGGAGCGUAGGUGGGUUGCUAAGUCAGUUGUGAAAGUUUGCGGCUCAACCGUAAAAUUGCAGUUGAUACUGGCAGCCUUGAGUACAGUAGAGGUAGGCGGAAUUCGUGGUGUAGCGGUGAAAUGCUUAGAUAUCACGAAGAACUCCGAUUGCGAAGGCAGCCUGCUGGACUGUAACUGACGCUGAUGCUCGAAAGUGUGGGUAUCAAACAGGAUUAGAUACCCGUGUAGUC
Molecule: ribosomal RNA, 460 nt
Filed under: uncultured bacterium
Lineage: Bacteria
Description: partial 16S ribosomal RNA
Rfam family: Bacterial small subunit ribosomal RNA
Source: RNAcentral